GACGAACGCUGGCGGCGCGCUUAACACAUGCAAGUCGAGCGAUGAAAUCUUAACAGAACCCUUCGGGGCGAAGAUAAGACGGAUUAGCGGCGGACGGGUGAGUAACACGUGAGUAACCUGCCUUUUACACAGGGAUAGCCUCGGGAAACCGGGAUUAAAACCUGAUGAAACUAUCAAAUCACAUGAUUAAGAAAGUUAAAACUCCGGUGGUAAAAGAUGGACUCGCGUCCCAUUAGCUAGUUGGUGAAGGUAACGGCCCACCAAGGCAACGAUGGGUAGCCGGCCUGAGAGGGUGAACGGCCACAUUGGAACUGAGAAACGGUCCAAACUCCUACGGGAGGCAGCAGUGGGGAAUAUUGCACAAUGGGGGAAACCCUGAUGCAGCGACGCCGCGUGAGCGAAGAAGGCCUUCGGGUCGUAAAGCUCUUUUAUAUGGGAAGAUAAUGACGGUACCAUAAGAAAAAGCCCCGGCUAACUACGUGCCAGCAGCCGCGGUAAUACGUAGGGGGCUAGCGUUGUCCGGAAUCACUGGGCGUAAAGGGUUCGCAGGCGGCAAUGCAAGUCAGAUGUAAAAGGCAAAGGCUCAACCUUUGUAAGCAUCUGAAACUGUAUAGCUUGAGAAGUGUAGAGGCAAGUGGAAUUUUUUAGUGUAGCGGUUGAAAUGCGUAGAUAUUAAAAAAGAAUACCCGGUGGCGAAUGCGACUUGCUGGGCACAAUCUGACGCCUGAGGAACGAAAGCGUGGGGAGCAACAGG
Molecule: ribosomal RNA, 754 nt
Filed under: uncultured Peptoniphilus sp.
Lineage: Bacteria; Bacillati; Bacillota; Tissierellia; Tissierellales; Peptoniphilaceae
Description: bacterial SSU rRNA
Rfam family: Bacterial small subunit ribosomal RNA
Source: RNAcentral